GAUGAACGCUGGCGGCGUGCCUAAUACAUGCAAGUCGAGCGAACAGACGAGGAGCUUGCUCCUCUGACGUUAGCGGCGGACGGGUGAGUAACACGUGGAUAACCUACCUAUUAUACUGGGAUAACUUCGGGAAACCGGUGCUAAUACCGGAUAAUAUAUUGAACCGCAUGGUUCAAUAGUGAAAGACGGUUUUGCUGUCACUUAUAGAUGGAUCCGCGCCGCAUUAGCUAGUUGGUAAGGUAACGGCUUACCAAGGCGACGAUGCGUAGCCGACCUGAGAGGGUGAUCGGCCACACUGGAACUGAGACACGGUCCAGACUCCUACGGGAGGCAGCAGUAGGGAAUCUUCCGCAAUGGGCGAAAGCCUGACGGAGCAACGCCGCGUGAGUGAUGAAGGUCUUCGGAUCGUAAAACUCUGUUAUUAGGGAAGAAAAAAUGUGUAAGUAACUAUGCACGUCUUGACGGUACCUAAACAGAAAGCCACGGCUAACUACGUG
RNAcentral lists this ribosomal RNA (497 nucleotides) under uncultured bacterium. RNAcentral describes it as "partial 16S ribosomal RNA". It matches the Rfam family "Bacterial small subunit ribosomal RNA", at positions 28 to 507 of the family's 1533-position model. The record is from RNAcentral.